UGCACGAAUGGCGUAAUGAUGGCCAGGCUGUCUCCACCCGAGACUCAGUGAAAUUGAACUCGCUGUGAAGAUGCAGUGUACCCGCGGCAAGACGGAAAGACCCCGUGAACCUUUACUAUAGCUUGACACUGAACAUUGAGCCUUGAUGUGUAGGAUAGGUGGGAGGCUUUGAAGUGUGGACGCCAGUCUGCAUGGAGCCGACCUUGAAAUACCACCCUUUAAUGUUUGAUGUUCUAACGUGGACCCGUGAUCCGGGUUGCGGACAGUGUCUGGUGGGUAGUUUGACUGGGGCGGUCUCCUCCUAAAGAGUAACGGAGGAGCACGAAGGUUGGCUAAUCCUGGUCGGACAUCAGGAGGUUAGUGCAAUGGCAUAAGCCAGCUUGACUGCGAGCGUGACGGCGCGAGCAGGUGCGAAAGCAGGUCAUAGUGAUCCGGUGGUUCUGAAUGGAAGGGCCAUCGCUCAACGGAUAAAAGGUACUCCGGGGAUAACAGGCUGAUACCGCCCAAGAGUUCAUAUCGACGGCGGUGUUUGGCACCUCGAUGUCGGCUCAUCACAUCCUGGGGCUGAAGUAGGUCCCAAGGGUAUGGCUGUUCGCCAUUUAAAGUGGUACGCGAGCUGGGUUUAGAACGUCGUGAGACAGUUCGGUCCCUAUCUGCCGUGGGCGCUGGAGAACUGAGGGGGGCUGCUCCUAGUACGAGAGGACCGGAGUGGACGCAUCACUGGUGUUCGGGUUGUCAUGCCAAUGGCACUGCCCGGUAGCUAAAUGCGGAAGAGAUAAGUGCUGAAAGCAUCUAAGCACGAAACUUGCCCCGAG
RNAcentral lists this ribosomal RNA (815 nucleotides) under Salmonella enterica. Its description in RNAcentral is "partial 23S ribosomal RNA". It matches the Rfam family "Bacterial large subunit ribosomal RNA", at positions 1989 to 2803 of the family's 2925-position model. The record is from RNAcentral. Lineage: Bacteria; Pseudomonadati; Pseudomonadota; Gammaproteobacteria; Enterobacterales; Enterobacteriaceae.